RNAcentral lists this ribosomal RNA (229 nucleotides) under uncultured bacterium. RNAcentral describes it as "partial 16S ribosomal RNA". It matches the Rfam family "Bacterial small subunit ribosomal RNA", at positions 568 to 796 of the family's 1533-position model. The record is from RNAcentral.
CGCGUAGGCGGAUCUUCAAGUCGGAUGUGAAAUCUUGCAGCUCAACUGCAAGCCUGCAUUCGAAACUGAAGGUCUUGAGUACAGUAGAGGAAAGCGGAAUUCCAGGUGUAGCGGUGAAAUGCGUAGAUAUCUGGAAGAACACCAGUAGCGAAGGCGGCUUUCUGGGCUGAUACUGACGCUGAAGCGCGAAGGCUUGGGUAGCAAACAGGAUUAGAUACCCUGGUAGUCC